GACGAACGCUGGCGGCGCGCCUAACACAUGCAAGUCGAACGAGCGAGAGAGAGCUUGCUUUCUUGAGCGAGUGGCGAACGGGUGAGUAACGCGUGAGGAACCUGCCUCAAAGAGGGGGACAACAGUUGGAAACGACUGCUAAUACCGCAUAAGCCCACGACCCGGCAUCGGGUAGAGGGAAAAGGAGCAAUCCGCUUUGAGAUGGCCUCGCGUCCGAUUAGCUAGUUGGUGAGGUAACGGCCCACCAAGGCAACGAUCGGUAGCCGGACUGAGAGGUUGAACGGCCACAUUGGGACUGAGACACGGCCCAGACUCCUACGGGAGGCAGCAGUGGGGAAUAUUGCACAAUGGGGGAAACCCUGAUGCAGCGACGCCGCGUGGAGGAAGAAGGUCUUCGGAUUGUAAACUCCUGUUGUUGAGGAAGAUAAUGACGGUACUCAACAAGGAAGUGACGGCUAACUACGUGCCAGCAGCCGCGGUAAAG
RNAcentral lists this ribosomal RNA (484 nucleotides) under uncultured bacterium. Its description in RNAcentral is "bacterial SSU rRNA". It matches the Rfam family "Bacterial small subunit ribosomal RNA", at positions 28 to 525 of the family's 1533-position model. The record is from RNAcentral.